Molecule: long non-coding RNA, 105 nt
Organism: Telopea speciosissima
Lineage: Eukaryota; Viridiplantae; Streptophyta; Magnoliopsida; Proteales; Proteaceae
Exons: 3
Source: RefSeq, a predicted model, not a curated record
UUCGAAAGCCCAUGGUCAUUCAUAGCAUUCCUUGCUGCAGCAGCUAUCCUCGGCUUGACCAUCGCACAGACAUGCUUCUUUCAAGUCUUUGAACAAAUGAGUAAG